AUUGAACGCUGGCGGCAUGCCUUACACAUGCAAAUCGAACGGUAACGGGCCUUCGGGUGCCGACGAGUGGCGCACGGGUGAGUAAUACAUCGGAACGUGCCCGAUCGUGGGGGAUAACGAGGCGAAAGCUUUGCUAAUACCGCAUACGAUCUACGGAUGAAAGCAGGGGACCGCAAGGCCUUGCGCGGACGGAGCGGCCGAUGGCAGAUUAGGUAGUUGGUGGGAUAAAAGCUUACCAAGCCGACGAUCUGUAGCUGGUCUGAGAGGAUGAUCAGCCACACUGGGACUGAGACACGGCCCAGACUCCUACGGGAGGCAGCAGUGGGGAAUUUUGGACAAUGGGCGCAAGCCUGAUCCAGCCAUGCCGCGUGCAGGAUGAAGGCCUUCGGGUUGUAAACUGAUUUUGUACGGAACGAAAAGCCUUCUUUUAAUACAGGAGGGUCAUGACGGUACCGUAAGAAUAAGCACCGGCUAACUACGUA
RNAcentral lists this ribosomal RNA (482 nucleotides) under uncultured bacterium. RNAcentral's name for it is "partial 16S ribosomal RNA". It matches the Rfam family "Bacterial small subunit ribosomal RNA", at positions 30 to 507 of the family's 1533-position model. The record is from RNAcentral.